Molecule: ribosomal RNA, 336 nt
Filed under: uncultured Methanomicrobiales archaeon
Lineage: Archaea; Methanobacteriati; Methanobacteriota; Methanomicrobia; Methanomicrobiales
Description: bacterial SSU rRNA
Rfam family: Archaeal small subunit ribosomal RNA
Source: RNAcentral
GCGUCAGUUCGUACUGUGAAGCAUCCUGUAAGUCAGGCAACGAGCGAGACCCACGCCAACAGUUGCCAGCUCGUCCUCCGGGAUGGUGGGACACUGUUGGGACCGCCUCUGCUAAAGAGGAGGAAGGAAUGGGCAACGGUAGGUCAGCAUGCCCCGAAUUAUCUGGGCUACACGCGGGCUACAAUGGGUGGGACAAUGGGUAUCGACACCGAAAGGUGAAGGCAAUCUCCUAAACCCAUCCGUAGUUCGGAUUGUGGGCUGCAACUCGCCCACAUGAAGCUGGAAUCUGUAGUAAUCGUGUCUCAAAAUGGCACGGUGAAUAUGUCCCUGCUCCUU